RNAcentral lists this RNase P RNA (401 nucleotides) under Acetobacteraceae bacterium. RNAcentral describes it as "RNase P RNA component class A". It matches the Rfam family "Bacterial RNase P class A". Rfam says of the family: Ribonuclease P (RNase P) is a ubiquitous endoribonuclease, found in archaea, bacteria and eukarya as well as chloroplasts and mitochondria. Lineage: Bacteria; Pseudomonadati; Pseudomonadota; Alphaproteobacteria; Acetobacterales; Acetobacteraceae. The record is from RNAcentral.
CCAGACGGCCGGACGGCCGCUGACGCCUUCGGGCGUUGGAGGAAAGUCCGGGCUCCACGGGAAUGCGGUGCCGGCUAACGGCCGGCGGGGGCAACCCUAGGGAAAGUGCCACAGAAAACAAACCGCCCGCACGGCCCUGGGCCCGCGGGCAAGGGUGAAACGGUGCGGUAAGAGCGCACCGCGCGUCCGGCAACGGAGGCGGCACGGUAAACCCCACCGGGAGCAAGACCGAAUAGGGGCGGCUGGCCUCGGCGCCAAAACCGGCCGCCGACGCCGGGGGCAUUCCCGCCCCCUCGCCGCCCGGGUUGGUCGCGCGAGGCGUGCCGCAAGGCGCGUCCCAGAGGAAUGGCCGUCCCAUGCGCGAGCAUGGACAGAACCCGGCUUACAGGCCGUCUGGCACU